CUGGAGGGAGUGACUCAACCCCUGUAAUAGGGUUAGAGGCAGAGAAUCCCAGUGGAGAUAGGGGAACCGGCCAGGCAGAGACAGCAAGGGCGGUUCAUUGCCUUUCCGUUCACCUUCACACUCCUGGGCCAGACUACACUCAGUCAUAGGAACUACUGAAGAGAUUAGUCUUCAAUAAAGACUUAAAGGUUGAGACCGAGUCUACGUCUCUCACAUGGUACAGGGCCUGAGUUUGGGGGGUUGAAAAUCCGUUCAGCCAUUGUGGCAUGGUGACUCACUACCCAAACCAGAUGCAACUGAUUUCAAGUGGCCAAGCGAAGACAUGUGAUCUCCUACCUCCAUCUAGUGGACGAACUGGGAAUCAGACAGAGGACAGCAGGUUGCACAGAUGACCAGCGCAGAGAGGGGCUUCACAGUAAUUUGUGAUAUCAGUGCAGCGGGACAGUAUGUACUGCCCCUCUUCAUCUUCCCCCGGAAGAGGAUGAACAAACAGCUGCUGGUUGGAGCAACUCCUGGGUCCGUUGGAAGGGUGAGUGACUCAGGUUGGGUCAACAGUACCAUCUUUGUCAACUGGCUCCACCACUUCACCCACAGUGUUGGUUGCGUCCCUGAUGGGCACCACUCCCAUAAGACCCUGGAGGCUGUUCUUACAGCAAGAGGCCAGGGAUCACUCUGCCACCCCACUGCAGCCACAAGAUGCAGCCAUUAGACCCUACCGUCUCCAAGGGUCUGAAGGCCUUUUCCAACAGGGAAGCAGAUCAGUGGAUGACGACCCAUCCUGGGAAAAGGAUCGGUAUAUCCCAAAUGGUUGGCCUCUUCGCAAAGGCCUAUAACAAGGUUUCCAGUGUGGAGAGAGGAGUGGAGGCCUUCCGGGCCAGUGGGCGGACUUCGUGGCCGUUAUAGAGGAGCAAUUAGCCCAUAAGAAAAAUGCAAAGAAUCCAUUCAACCACAGUGCUCUACUGCCGCCGCUGCCACCUCUGCCGAUACAGCCACCAGCUCUACCGCCGCCAUCACUAGCUCUACCUCUACCUCUACCUCCAACACAUCUACCUCCGCCACAACCUUCACCCUGCAGCCUACCCUUGCUCCAAAUGUUGCUGCAGCAGUCCUAUUGGAGUUGUCCCCGAGGCUCCAGGAGGCUAGGCCGAGGAAGACGAAGGCAGAGUCUGCGGCGGUACUGACAUAAACAAAAAGUAGAAACAUCAACAUCAAUAGAACAAGCCACAUCAGCCACUAAAGAAGGGGAUGUGGGGUGUCUUUUCUGUGAGGAGCUGUUUUCAGUCCCAGGUGGGGACUGGAUUAGGUGGGCUCAUGAGUUGUGAUCCAAUUUUACUGGAGCUUGAUUUGUGACCUGUGUACAAAUUAGAAUUGCGCAAUAGUAGAGCAUAAUAGUUGCAACAACAAUGUUACACUGAAUUAGUUAAGUUAUGAUUUAUUGUUUUUAAAUGUUAUAUUCCAAUGCUAUUUCAUUUUAUUAGUUAUAUUCCAUUCCAAUAUUAUAUUCCAAUGAAUAUUUAUUUUUUUAUGAAUUAAAAACAACUAUUGAAAAUCUUUUGCUCCAAAAUGUCAUUUUAAAGACUGCUGGGAUUUCAAAUCUUGCAUUAUUCCAAUAAUAUUUGGUGCAAUUGUACAUAAGGGAUUGUAUGGAAAAGGAACAACAAAGAAGAACAAAGAAAAUGUAUGUGCAGGUGAGAUAAAAAAGAGACUUUACAUCAAGUCUCCUCAUAGUGCGUAUACUAAUAGUGACAUGUGCAACACCAUUACCCCCAUAUAAUUAAACUAGACUUAGCAACUAGACUUAGCUUUUAAGGAUUUCUAAAUAAAACAGAUUUAAUUAAUUUUAACACACUUAUGGGAAACCGUAUGCCAUAAUCUUCUACCGGGGAAAAUGGCCCCCCGCGUACUUACCCCGUUACUUUAAAAGAAAAACACCCCUUUUCUAAAAACAACAUUUCAUGAAAUAGCUAAAAAAAACUGUAAACUGCAGCCAUUUAUUUCUCUUUAUAGUGUAUUCGGCUAAGCAUGACCUUCCUCCACAUACCAU
Molecule: long non-coding RNA, 2044 nt
Filed under: Salmo salar (Atlantic salmon)
Lineage: Eukaryota; Metazoa; Chordata; Actinopteri; Salmoniformes; Salmonidae
Description: lncRNA (ENSSSAG00000083121.1)
Source: RNAcentral